RNAcentral lists this ribosomal RNA (252 nucleotides) under uncultured bacterium. RNAcentral describes it as "partial 16S ribosomal RNA". It matches the Rfam family "Bacterial small subunit ribosomal RNA", at positions 524 to 776 of the family's 1533-position model. The record is from RNAcentral.
UACGUAGGGAGCGAGCGUUGUCCGGAAUUACUGGGUGUAAAGGGAGCGUAGGCGGGACUGCAAGUUGGGUGUCAAAUCUACCGGCUCAACCGGUAGCCGCACUCAAAACUGCAGUUCUUGAGUGAAGUAGAGGCAGGCGGAAUUCCUAGUGUAGCGGUGAAAUGCGUAGAUAUUAGGAGGAACACCAGUGGCGAAGGCGGCCUGCUGGGCUUUUACUGACGCUGAGGCUCAAAAGUGUGGGGAGCAAACAGG